CAAUAGUGUUCAUUUUAUAAAAUUACAGACCAGUCUAGGUUUUCUCCAGUGGGGUGUGAAGUCCGCAAAGCUGAAAAUAUAAACUUAAAACACAAAAUACAGUAUCUUACAGUAUCGAUAAGAUUGAGUAAGUUAAGGCACCGUGAGGCACCAUAACAACUUUAUCUAAAUUAAGUUAUUAUAAUGUCAGGAGGUCCUCGGUGCACUCUUACUUCAAGG
Pelobates cultripes (western spadefoot toad) is the source of this 219-nucleotide non-coding RNA. The record is from the annotation of a GenBank genome assembly. NCBI's taxonomy places the organism in Eukaryota, Metazoa, Chordata, Amphibia, Anura, Pelobatidae.